This 363-nucleotide unclassified non-coding RNA is filed under the name Hevea brasiliensis (rubber tree). Lineage: Eukaryota; Viridiplantae; Streptophyta; Magnoliopsida; Malpighiales; Euphorbiaceae. The record is from RNAcentral.
CAAAUUGAGCUGGUAAUGUCAGAGUCAACAAGGGUUACCAUAUCUUGCCUCUGAAAGAGAGCCCAAGUGUCUUGUGAUGCCUGUACAAAACCUUUUCCAUAUGCAGCUAUCUGCGCGAAGGCCCAGCCAUUGCCAUAUGUGAAGAUGCACUCCAUGACUCCAAGACAGCAAUGAGCACAAGAAAACAUGAAUUCAUCCUCUCCCUCGAGCAAAUUCAGACCCCGAGCAACGAUUCUCAGUGCUUCAAUUGCUGGCACAAAUAGAGAUCCCAGACAAGCACUUCCAAGAUUCCGAGUUACAGCUCUUUGGAAGCAAAAUUUAGUAUUUGCUUGCAUCCCUCUGAGAUAAUACAGAGAGAUUACC